AAUGCUGGAGCUACCACUGGCACUUAGGCGGCACAAGCCGGCACUCCGGAGUUAGCCUACGCGACUUAUGCUUGCUCGUGCGGUAUUGAGAAGCCUACGGGGGCCUAGAGGGCUAGACUCAUUCCUCGAGGGGGAAUGCUAGAGCUACCACUGGCACUUAGGCGGCUCAAGCCGGACUACACUUGUGUAGGUCCUAAAACAAGAUUGAACAAUGACAUUAAACCGGUGUAUGACAAUCACUACUAGAUAGGCUUAGUAGUUGGUUUACUUGAACAUACUUUUAGCAUAGUAGUGGACAUUGGGACAUGUACUAUUGUUUUCGCAUAAUAGUAUACUUGGUGGUCAUGAUAAAGCAUAUUAAUCAUGUAUUGGUAUAUGGGAUUAUGAUGGGGUAGAUGUACACUACGUUGACAUCAUGUGAUAUUACGGCAUUGUAGAUUAGCAUUUCAUUACAUGCUUUCCCUAUUUGCAGUUUACUAGUAGUUCCUUUAUCUACUUAUACUUUUGGGCCUAGUGGUGCAUUUGGCUAUGGUCAGUAAUUGUCCACUGGGAACUAUAAAUUAUAGUUCUCACGUCCCCCUGUUUUAUGUUUUCUUUCAGAGCCUUCCACCCCGGGAGAGGCUCGGGAUCGCGGGAAAGGAAUCGCCUCAAGUUAGCUAGCAAGGAAUUCGACGAUAGGUGGUCUACCUCUCUUCUGAGUUUUGUUUGGAGAGGUUGAAAGACUUGUACCAUUUUUGUAGAGACUACCCCCUAUAUGUAGCUUGAGACUAAUGAUGUAUUAUUUUACGUUUUGCCUUGGUGGUUUAGUUUCCCUUGUUUCUACCUGUUGUUGGAACCUAGCUGUAUACUUGCUCUGAUAUCUUUAUAUACACUCU
This 875-nucleotide long non-coding RNA is filed under the name Ananas comosus (pineapple). RNAcentral describes it as "long non-coding RNA (ACOM_LNC039220)". The record is from RNAcentral. Lineage: Eukaryota; Viridiplantae; Streptophyta; Magnoliopsida; Poales; Bromeliaceae.